CCAUCUGUGUGGAAAGACAUGUUUGUAAAUUUUCAAAUAAUGGUAAAAGAAGUGAAAAAUAUACUUUAGUUAGUGUGCCCUCACUCCUUUUAAAUAUUGUAACAGAUAAAACGUUUUCUGCUUCCUGUGUGAUACUUUUAUAAUUUAAAGCUGCAAAAUAUGGUAUGAUAAAAAUGAUAUGCCUUUCACUAAGCAGCCCAGUGGGAGUAAGGUCUGGGAAUUUUCAUUAUUCUAACGGAGGAUGCUCACCAACUGGUGAUGUGUCGUACUAAUGAGCUAAUGAGUCUGUGCCAGAAACAUCUAAUGAAUGGGCAUCAAUUUUGCUCUUGGUUUUCACUUUACUACUGAAGCCAAGAUGUUUUCUUUGAGCUUGCUCCUAAGAGUGUUUUGUGGAUGCUUCUCCUUCUUGGAAAAGUGAAGCACAAGGCACAUAGAUCUCAAAAUUGCAAAAGGCAGCCAAGGAGACUCUUAAAUGAUAGUCUCACCAGAUGGGGCCAAAAGGCGUAUCCUGCGCCACGGUUUAAAAAAAGAAACUGAUUCAAGUUUCAAAGUAAAGAGAACUCUGUUUUGACAUAAAAAAAAUGGCAAAUUUUGCAGAGGCAGACUUGUUGAAAUCUCAUUUUAUGAAAAUGACAGUUAUGGCUGCUGCUCUUAUAUUUAUAAAAUACUUUGUUUAAACAGUUGACGAUAUUACCUAAGGGAAGUAGUGUCUUACCAAAUCUCUUUCUUCUUACUUUUUAGAGUAUUCUAUUUUGGUCUGAUUAUAAAAGUAGUGAAGUGAUAAAAGGGGCCCUCCUUUUCCCACACCAUGGCAGACGCGCAGAGAAACCCUUUCCUGUACAGAACACCUGACAAUGCUGGAUGAAAAUUUAAACACAAUUUUAAGGCUUAGCCAGGUUGGAUGUCCAGACAGGAUAAUCAGCUGAGACUAGAAACAAGAAAGAAGGGCAUCAUGGGAGAUGUUCCCACAUCUUGCAUGAAAGUUUUCAUGGAGGCUUUUGUAAAGCUAUUCGCAGAAAGGACUCUCUUACUCUCGUAGUCGGCAUUAGAGGACCAGAAUCCUACCGCGUGUUGGACAAACAGCCCUUUAGAGAUCAAGCUUCAAGCACACCUUAGAGAAUCUAAAGUUUGCUCAGAGACAGGAGGACAUUUCUCUUGGAUCUUCACCAUGACCUGACAGGAUUCCUGGAAGUAAAAUCCACCAAAGUGAGGGGACCCUUCUAAGGCUGUGGCCUCCAGGAGUUUCUCGUUCUAACCCAGUCCGUUCUCACCAUCCAGAAAUUCAUCAAAAUUAUCAUUGAAAUGUUCCUAUCAGUGUAUGUCGCCAGUGACUUCUACUGUUGGCUUUAACUGAGGCGAGUGGCCCAGUUAGCAGAGGACUCCCACCUUGAAAUAAUCAUGGGAAGGUUGCCAAAGAGAACAUUGAGUCCGGUCAGAAACAGCUGCCAGUGCAACCCUGCUGCCCUUGACUCUGGGUCUCAAGGUUUUUUCACUUUCCCAUUCUCAAACAAAAGUCUGAACUUCCCUUGACUAGUCUGUGUUUGAGAGUCCAAUUCAUUCUUAAGAGUAGAGAUGUUCUUCCUUUGUCCAUCAGACACAGAAAAUGGUGUGCACCAAGCCACCCAUUCCCAGGGUCCACCUCUGUUAAGGACUGUGCUAUACACAAGAGAGGGUGCAGAUCAAUGGAGUCCCAUGGGUGCUUAUUGUGAUGUCAUUCCUUACCUGCUAUUCAAGAAAACACUUUGAGAUGAAAAUGCGAGUGAUACCAUUAUAGGGAUAACCUUAAAUCGACUCUAAUUAAUUUUUCAAGCAACUCUUGCACAUACUUGAGUGUUUUGCUAAAAUUGGUAACAUUUUGAACACACUUAACAAUUGAUCUUGACAAACCACAGUUGAGAAUUUCUGUCUCAUUAGAUACAGUCACUUUGAAUGGGAGAAACAUGGGACAGAGUAGACCUCUUAGCAACUUAAGGACAUUUUAUUAGGGCCAAUCUUGACAUAAAAGUGAAAAUAGUAUCAUGGUUGUUCUGUCUCAUUUUCUGUCAUCAAAACUAUUGAUCAGAACAUUAAUAGCAAGCUAUUGACAGGCUCUUAGGCCUGCCAAGUAGUGUGCAAAGUUGUGCAGUGCACAACUCCAGGAAUACCAGGCACAUGUACCAUUCAACUGUGCAGUUUAACUUAUGGUUGUACAUGGAGUCUUUGGGGGCCCUCCUCGGGUAUGGCGUGAUAUGUCAGUACCAGGUUACUGACCAUUCACUUACCAAUAUUGGAUUACAGACAGUUCUAAGUUCAUCCACUAGUUUUCCAUGAUUUAUUGAUGAGAAUAUCACUCGAGAAGAAAUCAAAUUAUUGACUAUAGUCUACUCAUAUAUAUCUGUAAAUAUAUUAAGACGUUUCACUUAAAUUUUAAAUAGCUGUUUGUUUAAAUGAUUGCUAUGUACUGACAUUUUACUAGUUCUAUUGUUAUCUAAUAAAAUCUCUACAGUAUGUCAUAUAAUUAAUUUAGAAAACCUCAAAUCAUUGCUUUCUGGUUCUGAGAGAGGGAACACACAUUUUCCUCAACCAAAAUGCUUGAAUCAUGGAAAUUAGACCUCUUAAGUUCUCUGGUGCUGAUCAAUGCCACACAAUUAUGGCAUAAGUCAUUUUAAUUUUCAUUUGAAAUAUGCAAUUAUUCAAGAGAGAUUGAAAGUGCUAUUAUCCAGCUCAUGAAUUGUGAGCCUUUCUGGGGUGGGAGCAUGUUUUCUCUAGUAGAAUCUAUAAAGUUCUCCCUACGCAAUUGCUUUACAAAAGGCUGAUUUGUUUAAUUUAUUUUGUCAACAAAUUAAACAGAUGAAUGAAUCUUGCUCAAAACAAGUAUUUUGACGCUUUGAUUAUUUGACUUUAAGCUCCACCAAACUAUAAACUCCUUGAAAGUGGAGAUUGUACCUUACUGUCUCUGUAUCGCUAAAUCUAGUGGGAGAAGAGGAAUGUGUUACAGGGUCAAACUGUUGCUUAUAUGUGAGAACAGGCGUAUAUAUUUUUAAGAAAUAUUGCUAAUAGAAAUCACUUAGUAGUGAGUGAAUUAGUUAAUGUAUCAGCCUAUUUAUUCAGAUGUUUAAGCAGUGAUUUAUGUAAAUAGUCUAAAUAUGUUUUAAUUACUAUAUUAUCACAAAUAUAUCAUAUGUAUGACAAAAAAGUCAACAAAUACCUAUUUAUGUGUAUUAUUAGUAUUUUCUUUUUUACAUAAAGAUCCUUUUAUAAAUAGCCAUAAGAAGAUUUUCAUAGCAAGGACUUAAGUUGAUUUAAAGUGAGGUUUAAAUGUGGACUCUCUUCAAAGAGAUGUACGUGUUGGUACAAGACACACUUCUGAAGCCAAUAUUUUCAGAUGUGCUUUUACAGGAACUGCAUUUUUAAGAGCUCACAUUAUAGUGCUAUAGACAAUGAGAUAUUAUUGCAUUUUUCCAUAGCAGUUGGAAAUCUAUUUCUUGCUGUCAGCUAAGAACUGUGCACUACAAUAAAAUUGCCAAAGGCGCCCAGCCAGGGGUGCAAUAUAAUUCUCACCAACCAGCUUAUUAUAAAUACCAAAACUGUACCCUACCAGACAUUUACUAUUAGAUGAAUAAUGACUAAGAUGAAUCUGUUGAAGUCUGACUUAAAAGGGGACAGAUAUAAAAUGUGGUCCAACAGAUGGAAUGUUUAAAACAGAAACAGCUGCUUACCGUCAACUCAUUUUCUUUAACAAAUCUCCUUUCUUAGUCAUUAAAACACUUUCUGUUCAAAGCCAUGUACAAAGUUUGAAAUAGCUAUUUUGUCAACACACAUCUGCAUGAUCUCAAAAGCUACAUGGUGUGACUUUACAACGCAAUUAGUGGAGUUUCAUUUGGAAGAGUCCAAAAAAAAGUAAAAAAGAGGAAAAUGCCUUUCAAUAAGAGGCAAAAGGAUGUAUUCUAGAAGAAUAAUGAUAACUUUCCACAUUAGUGCAUAAUAAAUGUCCAUUUUGUUACUGCUUUACAAACAGUAAUGAAAAGAUUAGCUGAGAUAUAUAAAAAAUAGGCUUGUAGUCAUGGAAUUGAUCAAAGUUUGCGUAAGAUUUAAAAUCAGCAUACUCUUCCCUUCCUAAAUGAACAGUUUAUUUGAAAUGAGCGUAGUGAUAAUUGCUAAAUGAGCAUUUAGUGAUUAAUAAUUUGCAAACACUUCAAUGUUUUUGGAUGGUAGUGAAGAGUGACAGAGAGAGUACUGGUAGGACAGUAAUAAUUUAGUAUUCCACAUGUAGUGUUAAUACCCAGAAAUGAAAAUAGACAGUUGCCUGUAGGUUUGAUGCUUAUAGCACAAAUUAAGUUAUAAGAAGAUUUCUUUACACUCAAAGAUAAAAUUUACAUACAAGAUAUAUCUACUAUAGAUAAAGUAGGACGAAAUACAUUUGGGUGAUUAUUGAUAUUUAUCACCUAUCUAGAUUGUUGGCCUCAGGUAGCAAACAGGUUUCAUCUUCUUUGCCAAUUCUAAGUGAUUGGAAGUGGCUGCCUGGAGCAUUGUGUUGAGAAAGAUUCUGAGGACUCAUUGAGAAAGUGUCUAACAAUAGGUUAGUGGUGUUUAGAGUGGGAGUAGUGAGUGAUGGCCCAUAUAUCUAAUAUUUAUUAUCCCUAGAGCUAAUAUAGCUUGGAAAUGAACUGCAAAGACAAAAAAAAUUCUAUUAUUUAUGUGUCCGUGAAUAUAUAUUUAUUUUAUUCUCCAAAACUUAAAUUUAAUCAAAUGUGUAGUGAAGGUUUUACUUCUUUUCCUCUCUAAAUCAUAGUCAGUACUUUCUUUGGUAUUUGAUGACUUUCAUAAUCUUUCCAUGUUUGGGGCGCUUUUUGGUUGUGAAAAUAAAAUGAAGAGGUUAUAGUAGGUUGAAAGCAUAAGUCCUACUCUUGACACAAUAUUUAAAAUAAAACUGACAUACAACCAAGAGUCCAAAAUUUUUAUAAACUCCUUGGAUGGUGGGUACUACAGUGUUUUUAAAUUGGAGGUUAAAAGAACAAAGCACAUAAAUAAUGACAGUGAAGGUUGGCUCUAAUCUAAAUAAAUAAAAAUUGUUGAAAAGAAGAUCAUAAUUACUGUCUGAAAAUGUAAGUUAUAGGGAACACAUUCACUGGGCCAUUGGCGGUAUAAACACUCUAAUUCUUGGUUUCACAUCUCUAGACAAGUUUUCUGGAAUUAAUUUUUUUUAUAACCAUAAGGAAGUUCAGAGCUUUUGGUUAAGGCUGAGAGCUCCACAAGAAAGAUCACUGAGAAUUUGUUGACAUAAUUGGAAAAUUUAACUAUUUUGUCACCAUUCAAAUGUAUCUUCCUGAAGGGAAAAAUGCAAAGAUUAGGGUUAGGGCCAUAGAAUGACUCAUGUAUAAGUAACAGACACUUCCAAAAUGAACCACGUGAAAAACAACAGUCUCACUCCAGAAAGACUUCUUGAAAAUUUUAUUUUUCUUAAGUUUCUAUUUAAAAGGAGCUGACCCUUAUCUGAUAGCAGGUUUUCAAAGGAAGAAUGAGUCACGUCAGAAAUGUUGUCAAUUUUGCUUUCAUGAGGUUUGGCAAAGGACUUUCUAUUUUCUCCAUAUUUUAUGAGACCUCAAAAUAGAGUUAGGAAUUUCCUCUCCUAGAGUGAACACUAUAAUACCAACUUGUAGUUAAAAGAUACUUUUCAGUAUCCAAAGAGCUUUCGCCUAUAUCAUUCAGCUUUGCUAGUCCUGAGGCCCUCAUUCAGGAUGGAGUAGAGGUAUUCACACUCCUGUUUUACAAAGGAGACUCCUAAGACAUGGGGGUUUUCCAAGGACACAUGGUUGCUGUGAGCAAAGCUGCGAACCAAAACCCAAACUGUCUGACUCACCACUUACUCGUUCUUCUGACCACUUUAUGUUGAGUGCUUUGGGAUAUCCUGAGGAAGUACAACCUGUGAGUCUUCUUUAAGAGUGAAUGCCCUUCCUUCACCGACAGAGUAAUGAAAGUAUAGGGAUAUAUGUUUUUAGUAAAAGCCAUAGAAACCCUCUUCACAGGAAAAGUCUUAGAGUCGUGCUGCAUGACCUAUUUAUCCUUUCUCCUUUCAUGCUAUUGCUCUGGGUCACAUGAGUCACUCGUUAGCUUAGUUUACAAUCUAUAGUCUGCUGACUCCCAUAUUUAUAUCUCUGGGUCAGAUUUCCUUUCUUCCAUAACUUUAGACCUAAAUGUAUACCUACCCACUGGACACUUUUACUGGAAUGCCUUCCAGGAGCGCCAGACUUAAAAUGCCCCAAAUGGAAUUUACCAUGUUGUUCUGAAACGUGACCCCUUUCUGUGUUGGGAUUGAUACCACCCUUUACUGAAACUAAACAGAACUUGGGUUGCAUCCUUACUUCUUUCCUUGUUAAUCCUUCAUGUACAGGCAUUCUCCAAUCACUGCUGAUUCAAUUUUCCAAGCAACUCUUAAAUCUCAUUGGCUUUUUCUGUUCCUACCGCCUUUAUUCAGGUCUCAUGAGUUUUCACCUGGAUUAAAGUGCACACUUUCUAAGUGGCCCUCUUGAAUGCAAGUUGGCCUCUGUCCAAUCUAGUUUCCACACACCAGUCAGCCAUCAAUGGCUACCCAAAUGUUUGUGAUAAUGUGGCCUGUAGAGGCUGCCUAAUCUGGCUUGUGUUCACUGACUCAGUUUCAUGCUUUAUCACUUUCUGCCUCGUCAUCUCAGCUCAAGCUAUAUUGAAAGUAAUUCCAGCCUUAUGCUGUACGAAGUUCUGUGUUGGGUCCAUUCCUUUGUCUAUAUCAUCAAUAAGUGGUUUCAUUCUUCUACUAUUGGGUCCAUUUCUCCACGUGGCGUCCCUCCCUGCCCAUUGGGAGAUUGUAGAUCCUUUCCCUGUAGAUUUGGCAACAUGUUUUGUUUUGCCCAGUGAAAUUAAGCAGAAGUGGCAUGUGUCACUUUUGGAUAAUAGCUCUAAAAGCCGCUGUGUGCUUCAACAUGAUAUCUUUCUUCUGCCACAAGACAGGCAGUGUCCCAGAUGGAGGACAAUUUAUCAACUAGUGUCCUAAGAAAGAAGACAUGGAGCAGAGCUUCACCCAGUCCAUAAAGGACAGACAGAAUGAAGGGAAAAUAAGCCUUUGUAGGUAUAAACCACUGAGAUGUGGAGCUCUUUUUUGUUAUCUCAGCAUAACUUAGCCUACUUUGGCUGAUACAUCUGCCUGGAAGUUCUCCCUCUUUGCCCAGCUAACUCCUGUCUAUUGUCUCAGCUGAAAUUUUAUUCUCUUCAUAAUCCAUUUCUAAUAACUCUUUGGGUGCAACUCUUGUGUUUCUGUAGAACUCUGUGCUUCCUGUAAUAAUAAUAUUCAAUGCACUGCAUCAUAAUUGUUUGUUUAUUUCUUGUGUCCCCUACUAGAUGGUCAACUCUGUGAGGGUAUGGCCCAUUUCUUUCCUCUUCAUCAUUUUAUUCCUAUGUCUUAGUCCCUAGUGCACAAAUGUUAUGCAAUAGCUAUGUUGUACGAAUGAAUGGUAAAUAAAUAAAGAAAAAGUAGUCAAAUCAGUUCUCACCUCCCCAAAUAUUGUUGAAAGUUUUCAGCUUCAGAGCUGUGUGAACGACAAUGGUACUGGGAAAUUUUCUCUGCUGUGAUGACAGAUGGAACACCAAAAGGAAAAUGUUUGCUAUCAUUGACUUCUAACAUGCACCAGUCUCACUUUCUGUUAUCACACAUUUGCUCUGUGAAAAGUUUUAGUAAUAAAUUAUAGCUUAGACUAUAUUUUUGUCCUAUGAGUCCCUUGAAUGUGUCCAAUUUCAUUGUGGUAAUCAUGCCCAGUAACAACUCCACUAGCCUUGAAGGACAACUUAUCCUUGGAUCACAAGUGUGAGAUAGUGAGGAGGUCAGCCAAUUUCAGGCAAACCUACAGAAGUGUUACAAGGAGAUCUGGUGAAUCGCCAUCUUCCUUAAUCUGGCCAAUGUACUUGCUCUCUUCUUUAUUCUUCUUUAUUAUAUAGUCUGUUUUUAUCAAAGAUGUUAGGCAGUAUGAUUUUGGUUUAGAAUUAUGAUAAUUCUCAUUUUGUCUUAAAAUCACAGCAUAGUUUUAGGUCCAUGUUUGCAUUAUAUAUCUCUGACUCUCUAGCAUAGUGUCAUACAUGCAAUAGCGUUUCAAUGAAUAUUUAUUUCCAAUCUCUACCCUCCUCUUGCCGCUACUUAAAUGUUUUCCCUUCACUAUCAAAUAUAUUGAAAACAUUGAAAGAAUAGUUUAUAUAUUUUACUUUCAUUUUUGAACAUCUCAUUUACAUUUUAGCCCAUUGCCUUUUAGGUUUUUUCUUUAAUACUCUACCCAAGCACACACACACACAGAACCAGGUCAAAGAUUUUAGCCUGAGGCUAUGGAGAUCCUGUGACAAAAUUCCACUAGGAAAAAUUUGUAGAACCUAGCUUCUCUUCAAUUCUUAUUUAGUUCUCAUUUAUUUAUACCAUCCUGUCUUUUCUUUUCUGCCCCUUCCCUUCUUUCCUUUUUACUUCUUUCUCUCUUUUUCCUUUCUUUCUUUCUUCCUUUUUCUUUCUUUCUUUCUUCCUUCCUUCCUUCUUUCCUUUCUUUAUUUUCCUUCUCUGUCUUUCUUUCUAUUAACAGUGCCCAUUUCUCAAAUAGUUUCUGAACCUCGUUGGAAUUACUGUUACUGACAUUUUAAAUGAAGCCCAUCAGUGAACUUGUUGCAGCAUCCAGGCAUUCUGCACAUGGGGUCACUAAUGGAUAUUAAAUUAAAUAAACUGAUAUCUCAGAUGGAUGAGUUGGAAGAGAACAUAGGAACUAGAGCAGUAAUUUACUGAGAAUUAAAAAUAACUCAAAGUUUUCAGCCUGGUAGAAGGCUAAUUGAUGUAUGCACCUGGGAUAAUGUGGCAUUAAGGUUUUUUGGAGAGACGAGAGGGAAGAUUAUAAAUUUAGACUUAAACUUUUAAAAUUUGGGAUGACAGUAAUUCAUGAAAGAGGAAAUAUCCAGAAGGCAGUGGAGCUUAAAAAAAAGAAGAAAAGGCAAGGUUGAUGAAAGAUGUAGAUUGGGAGAGGUAUUCUUUGAGCAUUGAGUGUGACUCUGAAGAGAAAAUAUGGAGAUAGACAAAUGAAAGGGGGCUAUGCCACAAUUACCACUUCUAGCAAAGGAAGCAGAGAAGAUGCAGCCAAAGGUUUUCUCCUUCUCUGAAUAACAGUGAUAUAGUUUCCUGGAAACCAAGAGUGGAGAGAUUCUGUGGAAAUAGCCAGGACAACAGGUGGAAGGAAGCACGGAGAUGUAUUUGGCUUGUCCAAUCAGAUGCUGUGUUUAGGACUUUGACUCUUACUUGAAUAAGUAAGGCUUUGACUCCUAUUCAAAGAAGCUUGGAAACUGAACUAAGCGAGGCAUCUAGAGGGUGAGAACGUCAGACUGCUCCAGCUACAAGAACUUGGCAGUACAUGGAUCCUACUGCCAAGGUCCCUUUGUUCUUGACAGUUUUCCUGGCCAGGUCCUCAGCUUCUCAUUGACCAUGAGUCCCCUCAUUCUUCUAAAAAGUCUCUUUCUUAUUUAAGAUGGCCAGCAUUGGUUUCUGUUGCUUGAAACAAAGCACCUUCUCUGAUGCACAGGGUUAUUUCAUAUUAUUUCUGGGUGCUAAGACAGAUAUUAGCUUCUGCAGGUAGUACUGGGGGUAGCAAGGAUGGAGGAGGAGCUAUAUUUAAAGAUGAAGAGGUCAUCGAUGGAACUUGGAUGGUCAAGUUCAAUAGCCUGUGGAAGAUUAGACAUUACAUUGUAGGGGAUCAGGGAAUGAGUAAUUGGUGAAUUAAAGAAGGCCAUAAAUACUGACAAAUUUCAAUAAUCUGAAAUUACCUAUGGGUCUUUAAAGUAAGUUGCAGAUAGAAUGUAAAUGUAUGAGAGGUGGGGUACAAAUGUCAUGGGGAGAAAUGUGAGAAGAUCAAACACGGCACAGUUAGGGUUAGUCAACCAAAUACGUAACAAAGUGUGUUGAUGGGAGUGGGAUGAUUGAAGGUGGAGAAGGAAAGCAUUGUAGACACUGAAAUGAAUAGAAUGAAUUCCACUCAUUAAAUAAUAACGUGAUGGGUUUUUACUAUUAUCUUCCUACUUUGUACCAACACCACAAGUAAUAUAAGUUAUAUUACACCAGAAAAACCUCCACAAAUUGCUACCAUAUUUUCUAGUCCUUCUAGAUACCUAAACAGUGGAAAACUUUUGAUAUCUGAGAACUCCUUGCCUGGGAUUAAGGAAAUAUGCUCAUCUAGUGUAUGAAAAUUGUCAUUGAUGUACUGAUUAGUUUUCUUGACAUGUUUUAGCAGACCUCUUUUUUUCCAUCAGAAAUCAUGUUUUGGUCAUAUAGGGCUUUAGAGGCAAUAUGAAUAAAUAUAGAAUAUCUUUAAUUUUCUUCCUUUGCCAUUGCUACAGAUAAAUCAGCCAUGUUGUGUGAGAAAUGGUUAGCAAAUUUCACAGCUGUCAACAAAUUCAUAAAACAGCGCUUUUAGCAAUUCCAUAAAAAGAUGUUGUUUGCUUUUAUGUUUCAAAUAUACUUUGAAUUAAUUUGAAGCAAAGAAAGUCCAAAGUCCAAAGGAGAUUAAAAAAAUGAUGUUAUCAAAUCACAGAAUCUAAAAUCCAGCAAACACUAAAAGGAAACAUUGAUUCUUUCAGUUAAUUUCUUGACAGGAAAGGCCAACAUAUGUGACUAUAUACACAGAGUAGACUCCAUAGCUUCAUGGAGCUUCUAGUCUGUCUGUUAGGUUCACUAUUCUACUCUUAGCACCUGGCACUGUGCUUGGCACAUGGUAGGUCCUCAAUAAAUACAGGUAUGUGAACGAAUGAAGGGAUGAACGGUAUCUAUGGAAAAUAUCUUAAUUAUAUGAUUUACCUGUGACUAGUUUCUAUAAUUUAAAUUCACUACACAAAAAUUCCAGGCAUGGAAUAAGUAGUAAUCUCUUUAUCUCUACAAAUUGUGAAAUUUGAAGUUUAUCAAACAAACUAACAUUAAAAAUCUCUGCAUCUAGCAUGGAAUGCUUACUUUUCAGUGGGAUGCUUUUGGCAUUAAAUUAGCUUAAUAAAUAUAAUAUAUUUAAUUAGCUUCUAUAUAUUAGCUUUAAUAUAUAGAUGAUAUAUAUAUAUGUAUACUACCACACAAAAUUUUAAAUAUAUUUGAAGCUAAAGAAACUUGUUUAAGGGUCUUGUAGGUGCUCUGUGUAUAAUAACUUAGUAAAACUAGCCAAGUUUUUUUUUUUUUU
Equus caballus (horse) is the source of this 11183-nucleotide long non-coding RNA. RefSeq lists it as uncharacterized. The record is from RefSeq and is a predicted model, not a curated record. Lineage: Eukaryota; Metazoa; Chordata; Mammalia; Perissodactyla; Equidae.